AACGAACGCUGGCGGCAUGCCUAACACAUGCAAGUCGAACGAGACCUUCGGGUCUAGUGGCGCACGGGUGCGUAACGCUUGGGAAUCUGCCACUGGGUUCGGGAUAACAGUUGGAAACGACUGCUAAUACCGGAUGAUGACUUCGGUCCAUAGAUUUAUCGCCUAGGGAUGAGUCCGCGUAGGAUUAGCUAGUUGGUGAGGUAAAGGCUCACCAAGGCGACGAUCCUUAGCUGGUCUGAGAGGAUGAUCAGCCACAAUGGGACUGAGACACGGCCCAGACUCCUACGGGAGGCAGCAGUGGGGAAUAUUGGACAAUGGGCGAAAGCCUGAUCCAGCAAUGCCGCGUGAGUGAUGAAGGCCUUAGGGUUGUAAAGCUCUUUUACCCGGGAUGAUAAUGACAGUACCGGGAGAAUAAGCCCCGGCUAACUCCGUGCCAGCCGCCGCAGUAA
This 449-nucleotide ribosomal RNA is filed under the name uncultured bacterium. RNAcentral's name for it is "partial 16S ribosomal RNA". It matches the Rfam family "Bacterial small subunit ribosomal RNA", at positions 29 to 523 of the family's 1533-position model. The record is from RNAcentral.